AUUGAACGCUGGCGGCAGGCCUAACACAUGCAAGUCGAGCGGAUGAGAAGAGCUUGCUCUUCGAUUCAGCGGCGGACGGGUGAGUAAUGCCUAGGAAUCUGCCUGGUAGUGGGGGACAACGUUUCGAAAGGAACGCUAAUACCGCAUACGUCCUACGGGAGAAAGCAGGGGACCUUCGGGCCUUGCGCUAUCAGAUGAGCCUAGGUCGGAUUAGCUAGUUGGUGAGGUAAUGGCUCACCAAGGCGACGAUCCGUAACUGGUCUGAGAGGAUGAUCAGUCACACUGGAACUGAGACACGGUCCAGACUCCUACGGGAGGCAGCAGUGGGGAAUAUUGGACAAUGGGCGAAAGCCUGAUCCAGCCAUGCCGCGUGUGUGAAGAAGGUCUUCGGAUUGUAAAGCACUUUAAGUUGGGAGGAAGGGCAUUAACCUAAUACGUUAGUGUUUUGACGUUACCGACAGAAUAAGCACCGGCUAACUCUGUGCCAGCAGCCGCGGUAAUACAGAGGGUGCAAGCGUUAAUCGGAAUUACUGGGCGUAAAGCGCGCGUAGGUGGUUUGUUAAGUUGGAUGUGAAAGCCCCGGGCUCAACCUGGGAACUGCAUCCAAAACUGGCAAGCUAGAGUACGGUAGAGGGUGGUGGAAUUUCCUGUGUAGCGGUGAGAUGCGUAGAUAUAGGAAGGAACACCAGUGGCGAAGGCGACCACCUGGACUGAUACUGACACUGAGGUGCGAAAGCAUGGGGAGCAAACAGGAUUAGAUACCCUGGUAGUCCAUGCCGUAAACGAUGUCUACUAGCCGUUGGGGCCUUUGAGGCUUUAGUGGCGCAGCUAACGCGAUAAGUAGACCGCCUGGGGAGUACGGUCGCAAGACUAAAACUCAAAUGAAUUGACGGGGGCCCGCACAAGCGGUGGAGCAUGUGGUUUAAUUCGAUGCAACGCGAAGAACCUUACCUGGUCUUGACAUAGUAAGAACUUUCCAGAGAUGGAUUGGUGCCUUCGGGAACUUACAUACAGGUGCUGCAUGGCUGUCGUCAGCUCGUAUCGUGAGAUGUUGGGUUAAGUCCCGCAACGAGCGCAACCCUUUUUCUUAUUUGCCAGCGGGUUAAGCCGGGAACUUUAAGGAUACUGCCAGUGACAAACUGGAGGAAGGCGGGGACGACGUCAAGUCAUCAUGGCCCUUACGACCAGGGCUACACACGUGCUACAAUGGUCGGUACAAAGGGUUGCUACCUCGCGAGAGGAUGCUAAUCUCAAAAAGCCGAUCGUAGUCCGGAUUGGAGUCUGCAACUCGACUCCAUGAAGUCGGAAUCGCUAGUAAUCGCGGAUCAGAAUGCCGCGGUGAAUACGUUCCCGGGCCU
This 1358-nucleotide ribosomal RNA is filed under the name uncultured bacterium. RNAcentral's name for it is "16S ribosomal RNA". It matches the Rfam family "Bacterial small subunit ribosomal RNA", at positions 28 to 1381 of the family's 1533-position model. The record is from RNAcentral.